UGAGGCGUGAUGACGAGGCACUACGGUGCUGAAGCAACAAAUGCCCUGCUUCCAGGAAAAGCCUCUAAGCAUCAGGUAACAUCAAAUCGUACCCCAAACCGACACAGGUGGUCAGGUAGAGAAUACCAAGGCGCUUGAGAGAACUCGGGUGAAGGAACUAGGCAAAAUGGUGCCGUAACUUCGGGAGAAGGCACGCUGAUAUGUAGGUGAAGUCCCUUGCGGAUGGAGCUGAAAUCAGUCGAAGAUACCAGCUGGCUGCAACUGUUUAUUAAAAACACAGCACUGUGCAAACACGAAAGUGGACGUAUACGGUGUGACGCCUGCCCGGUGCCGGAAGGUUAAUUGAUGGGGUCAGCGCAAGCGAAGCUCUUGAUCGAAGCCCCGGUAAACGGCGGCCGUAACUAUAACGGUCCUAAGGUAGCGAAAUUCCUUGUCGGGUAAGUUCCGACCUGCACGAAUGGCGUAAUGAUGGCCAGGCUGUCUCCACCCGAGACUCAGUGAAAUUGAACUCGCUGUGAAGAUGCAGUGUACCCGCGGCAAGACGGAAAGACCCCGUGAACCUUUACUAUAGCUUGACACUGAACAUUGAGCCUUGAUGUGUAGGAUAGGUGGGAGGCUUUGAAGUGUGGACGCCAGUCUGCAUGGAGCCGGCCUUGAAAUACCACCCUUUAAUGUUUGAUGUUCUAACGUGGACCCGUGAUCCGGGUUGCGGACAGUGUCUGGUGGGUAGUUUGACUGGGGCGGUCUCCUCCUAAAGAGUAACGGAGGAGCACGAAGGUUGGCUAAUCCUGGUCGGACAUCAGGAGGUUAGUGCAAUGGCAUAAGCCAGCUUGACUGCGAGCGUGACGGCGCGAGCAGGUGCGAAAGCAGGUCAUAGUGAUCCGGUGGUUCUGAAUGGAAGGGCCAUCGCUCAACGGAUAAAAGGUACUCCGGGGAUAACAGGCUGAUACCGCCCAAGAGUUCAUAUCGACGGCGGUGUUUGGCACCUCGAUGUCGGCUCAUCACAUCCUGGGGCUGAAGUAGGUCCCAAGGGUAUGGCUGUUCGCCAUUUAAAGUGGUACGCGAGCUGGGUUUAGAACGUCGUGAGACAGUUCGGUCCCUAUCUGCCGUGGGCGCUGGAGAACUGAGGGGGGCUGCUCCUAGUACGAGAGGACCGGAGUGGACGCAUCACUGGUGUUCGGGUUGUCAUGCCAAUGGCACUGCCCGGUAGCUAAAUGCGGAAGAGAUAAGUGCUGAAAGCAUCUAAGCACGAAACUUGCCCCGAGAUGAGUUCUCCCUGACCCUUUAAGGGUCCUGAAGGAACGUUGAAGACGACGACGUUGAUAGGCCGGGUGUGUAAGCGCAGCGAUGCGUUGAGCUAACCGGUACUAAUGAACCGUGAGGCUUAACCUUACAACGCCGAAG
This 1404-nucleotide ribosomal RNA is filed under the name Shigella sonnei. RNAcentral describes it as "partial 23S ribosomal RNA". It matches the Rfam family "Bacterial large subunit ribosomal RNA", at positions 1557 to 2925 of the family's 2925-position model. Lineage: Bacteria; Pseudomonadati; Pseudomonadota; Gammaproteobacteria; Enterobacterales; Enterobacteriaceae. The record is from RNAcentral.